CAGUAGCCACGGUAAUACGAGGGGGGCAAGCGCUGUUCGGAAUUAUUGGGCGUAAAGGGUGCGUAGGCGGUUUCGUAAGUCUGAUGUGAAAUCUAUGGGCUCAACCCAUAGUCUGCAUCGGAAACUGCGAGGCUUGAGAGUGGGAGAGGUGAGUGGAAUUUCCGGUGUAGCGGUGAAAUGCGUAGAUAUCGGAAGGAACACCUGUGGCGAAAGCGGCUCACUGACCAUUUCUGACGCUGAUGCACGAAAGCUAGGGGAGCAAACAGGAUUAGAUACCCCGGUAGUCCCUGUCUCUUAUACA
This 301-nucleotide ribosomal RNA is filed under the name uncultured bacterium. RNAcentral describes it as "partial 16S ribosomal RNA". It matches the Rfam family "Bacterial small subunit ribosomal RNA", at positions 509 to 808 of the family's 1533-position model. The record is from RNAcentral.